Long non-coding RNA from Anopheles merus, 727 nucleotides. RefSeq lists it as uncharacterized. The record is from RefSeq and is a predicted model, not a curated record. NCBI's taxonomy places the organism in Eukaryota, Metazoa, Arthropoda, Insecta, Diptera, Culicidae. The transcript has 3 exons.
UCUCGGUGUACCAUCCUCCUGAUGUUCCGCUGGCCGAUCCUCUGUUGAAACCGUCGCCGUGAACGACCGCUCUCCCCCGCGUGCAGCAAUCUCCAGGCUCCAGGUCAAACGUGAAGCUGAAACGUCUCCUUGCGUUUCACGUUGGCCGUCCACUGCAACUCAAGUGGGGGCCCGGCUGGCCCUUCAAUCUGAUACUCGCUGCUAGGGUAACUUCAGCGGGAAUGAUGAUCCUUCAUCCAGAAAUUGCGUGCGUGCCUCGCACUCGCUUGUUCAAUGCUUGCACAACCCGGGACACGACACAGGAGAAUCUCGAUCAACAAGGCUUUGUUACGUGGUUUGCGGCACAGCUUCAUCUGCGUUACAGUCUCAACACGUUUAAUGGGAGACAUGCGCUUCGCAUCAUUCUCUUAGCGUAUGAUCCGUGUUCGAUCGAACGAAGAUAUGGACAUCGCUACUAAACCGGGGUAAGAAUGCUUCAGACAAAUGGCGAGUAGCAGCAAAUGAAUUAUCUCGAAAACUAAGCGUCGAAGGAGAAACGUUCUCUUUCGCUACACGCAUCCAAAUCCCGAUGUAAAUUGAAGUGUUCGAUGGCUUUUUCCAUCACGAAUCAUAUACCAAAAUUCGGUUCAUUUUCCGGAGCCCGUUUUCAAAUGACAGCCCGUGGCGCGUUCUGCAGAAGGACUUUGACUCCGAUUUUGAGUAACGAGUGUUGGUCGUACCUACGCAA